GAUGAACGCUGGCGGCGUGCCUAAUACAUGCAAGUCGAACGCUGGAGAUCUAGCUUGCUAGAUCGAAGGAGUGGCGAACGGGUGAGUAAUACAUAAGCAACCUACCCACGAAGACUGGGAUAAUCUCUGGAAACGGGGACUAAUACCGGAUAGGUAAUCGGAAGGCAUCUUCUGGUUAUUAAAGGUUAAAAACACUGGUGGAUGGGCUUAUGGCGCAUUAGUUAGUUGGUGAGGUAACGGCCCACCAAGACGAUGAUGCGUAGCCGGCCUGAGAGGGUGAACGGCCACAUUGGGACUGAGACACGGCCCAGACUCCUACGGGAGGCAGCAGUAGGGAAUUUUCGGCAAUGGGGGCAACCCUGACCGAGCAACGCCGCGUGAGUGAAGACGGCCUUCGGGUUGUAAAGCUCUGUUGUAAGGGAAGAACGAUAGAUAGAGAAUAUCUAAGUGACGGUACCUUACCAGAAAGCCACGGCUAACUACGUGCCAGCAGCCGCGGUAAUACGUAGGUGGCGAGCGUUAUCCGGAAUUAUUGGGCGUAAAGGGUGCGUAGGCGGCCUGUUAAGUAAGUGGUUAAAUUGUUGGGCUCAACCCAAUCCCGCCACUUAAACUGGCAGGCUAGAGUAUUGGAGAGGCAAGUGGAAUUCCAUGUGUAGCGGUGAAAUGCGUAGAUGUAUGGAGGAACACCAGUGCCGAAUGCUGCUUGCUAGCCAAAUACUGACGCUCAGGCUCGAAAUCGUUGGGGAGCAGAUAGGAUUAUAUACCCUUGUAGUCCAGUGUCGAAUUCCACAAUGUAUAUCAAGCUUAUCGAUACCGUCGACCUCGAGGUGGUGCCGGGUCCCAGCUAUUGUUCUCUAUUAUAUGGUUAAAUUAAUUGUUGUUGUGUGAUAUGGAUGUGUAUAAUUUUGUUAUAUGUGUUGUGAUGUAUGAGUUGUUGUCGGUUUGCUGUUGUGUGUGGUGGUGUUGGUGUGUGUUUGAUUAGUGUGAUGGUUGUGUGUAGUGUGUCUGGUA
This 1011-nucleotide ribosomal RNA is filed under the name uncultured Actinomyces sp. RNAcentral's name for it is "bacterial SSU rRNA". The stretch from base 1 to 849 matches the Rfam family "Bacterial small subunit ribosomal RNA". Lineage: Bacteria; Bacillati; Actinomycetota; Actinomycetes; Actinomycetales; Actinomycetaceae. The record is from RNAcentral.